Molecule: non-coding RNA, 251 nt
Organism: Paramuricea clavata
Lineage: Eukaryota; Metazoa; Cnidaria; Anthozoa; Malacalcyonacea; Plexauridae
Source: the annotation of a GenBank genome assembly
GAAAUUUAAACGUGCCGAGACUUUCUCACGAGGUAGUCUCGGCACGUCUAUCAAGGGAUGCCGUGCCCAAAUUUCGAAAAAACUAAAAAAUGUGUUCGACAUCGAGCAUGCGCAAAACAAAUUGUCCUCUUUCCAACAUGGCAGCAAGCGGCGAAAAACUACAACUUGCCAAAAAUUAAAAAAAAAACAAAGUUAAAAAACAAAUUUAACACAGAAUGUGAAUGUUGCUCUAGUUGACUCGGAAAUUUUGA